RNAcentral lists this ribosomal RNA (375 nucleotides) under uncultured organism. Its description in RNAcentral is "partial 16S ribosomal RNA". It matches the Rfam family "Bacterial small subunit ribosomal RNA", at positions 527 to 896 of the family's 1533-position model. The record is from RNAcentral.
GUAGGUGGCAAGCGUUGUCCGGGAAUUAUUGGGGCGUAAAGCGCGCGCAGGCGGUUCUUUAAGUCUGAUGUGAAAGCCCACGGGCUCAACUGUGGAGGGUCAUUGGAAACUGGAGAACUUGAGUACAGAAGAGGAAAGCGGAAUUCCACGUGUAGCGGUGAAAUGCGUAGAGAUGUGGAGGAACACCAGUGGCGAAGGCGGCUUUCUGGUCUGUAACUGACGCUGAGGCGCGAAAGCGUGGGGAGCAAACAGGAUUAGAUACCCUGGUAGUCCACGCCGUAAACGAUGAGUGCUAAGUGUUAGGGGGUUUCCGCCCCUUAGUGCUGCAGCUAACGCAUUAAGCACUCCGCCUGGGGAGUACGGCCGCAAAGGCUG